RNAcentral lists this ribosomal RNA (491 nucleotides) under uncultured bacterium. Its description in RNAcentral is "partial 16S ribosomal RNA". It matches the Rfam family "Bacterial small subunit ribosomal RNA", at positions 29 to 507 of the family's 1533-position model. The record is from RNAcentral.
AUGAACGCUAGCUACAGGCUUAACACAUGCCAGUCGCGGGGCAGCGGUAUCGAAAGCUUGCUUUCGGUAGCCGGCGACCGGCGCACGGGUGAGUAACGCGUAUCGAACCUGCCUCAUACUCGGGAAUAGCCUUGCGAAAGUAAGAUUAAUGCCCGGUGUUUUCAGAGUCCCGCAUGAGGCUUUGAACAAAGAUUUAUCGGUAUGAGAUGGCGAUGCGUCCCAUUAGCUUGUUGGCGGGGUAACGGCCCACCAAGGCAUCGAUGGGUAGGGGUUCUGAGAGGAAGGUCCCCCACAUUGGAACUGAGACACGGUCCAAACUCCUACGGGAGGCAGCAGUGAGGAAUAUUGGUCAAUGGGCGGAAGCCUGAACCAGCCAAGUAGCGUGCAGGAAGACGGCCCUCCGGGUUGUAAACUGCUUUUAGUUGGGAAUAAAACGGGGCUCGUGAGCCCCCUUGCAUGUACCAUCAGAAAAAGGACCGGCUAAUUCCGUG